This 46-nucleotide non-coding RNA is filed under the name Schistosoma haematobium. The record is from RNAcentral. Lineage: Eukaryota; Metazoa; Platyhelminthes; Trematoda; Strigeidida; Schistosomatidae.
AUCAAGCUGACGAAUCCUAAAAUGGGACGAAGUGCGCGUCCUUGAU